AUUGAACGCUGGCGGCAGGCCUAACACAUGCAAGUCGAACGAGUGGCGGACGGGUGAGUAAUGUCUGGGAAACUGCCCGAUGGAGGGGGAUAACUACUGGAAACGGUAGCUAAUACCGCAUACCAUCGGAUGUGCCCAGAUGGGAUUAGCUUGUAGGUGGGGUAACGGCUCACCUAGGCGACGAUCCCUAGCUGGUCUGAGAGGAUGACCAGCCACACUGGAACUGAGACACGGUCCAGACUCCUACGGGAGGCAGCAGUAGGGAAUAGUGCGCAAUGGGCGAAAGCCUGACGGAGCCAUGCCGCGUGUGUGAAGAAGGCCUUCGGAUCGUAAAGCUCUUUCAGUGGGGAAGCGUUACCCAAAGAGAAAGCAACGGCUAACUCCGUGCCAGCCGCCGCGGUAAUUC
This 406-nucleotide ribosomal RNA is filed under the name uncultured bacterium. RNAcentral's name for it is "partial 16S ribosomal RNA". It matches the Rfam family "Bacterial small subunit ribosomal RNA", at positions 30 to 526 of the family's 1533-position model. The record is from RNAcentral.